AAGUGAAUCCCUGGUUCAAAAUUGCUUUUUUAUUUAGAAAGAAAAGUGAUUAUUGGCCUUGAAAUGGAGAGUGGGAGGAUUAGGAAAAAUAUAUUGCAGCCUGGGGAAGUGUGAAGUACUUUAUUUUGACAGAAGGAAUAAAGAAGCAGAUCACUGAUACUUUGGAAGAAUCUCACGAGAUACCAGUUUAUUCCAGUUUCUGGUGCAGCAGGACAUCUGACAGAACAGCUCAGACAACUGAUUUUUCACCUUUAACUACAUGUUCAUUCUAUUAAAUUUACAAGAUGUCAAAUCAUGAAUGGACACAAAUAUUAACUGGGUUUGGCAAAGGCUGCAGCACCCACACAAUUCUCACUGACCAGGCCAAGGAAAUGACCGUUGUCAGGGACCAACCUUACAGCACAAAUGUUGCAAAGGAGAUGCAGCCUGUGAGCCACUUUGGUACUAGAGCCAUGCAUCGAAGUACAUUGACACUGGGAAAAAAACCCGCAGUAUCAGAUUAUACAAGCUCCUAUAAGCAAGUAAG
Molecule: long non-coding RNA, 526 nt
Organism: Hemiscyllium ocellatum (epaulette shark)
Lineage: Eukaryota; Metazoa; Chordata; Chondrichthyes; Orectolobiformes; Hemiscylliidae
Exons: 3
Source: RefSeq, a predicted model, not a curated record